GGAGACACACCUGUAACUAGGCAAAGGCAGGGGGUGUGAAGGCUGUUAGAACUGAAGGCAAAGCACGGUGGAGGCCCAGACACGGAGGGGCAGGCCCCGGCCGGCGGGUCGGGGAAAGCUCUCUGGGAGAUGACGCCAAGCCUGAGUUUACCAGAUGGAUGGAGGAGGGAAGGGCAUUCCAGGCAAGUGGAAGAGCAUGUGCCAGUGUACAGAGUCCCCAGGCUCCUGCUCUGUACCAGGCCUGGGGAUGGACAGACUGCUGACUCCGGCCCCUGAGCUCAUUGAGUUCCCAGCCCAGUGAGGGAGACGCUCAAAUCUUCAUGACACAACAGUGGACAGAAGAGGAGAAGAUACAUAGAGAGACACACAGAGGAGAAGGCCUGUGAAGAUGGAAGCAGAGACUGGAGCGAUGGAGCCAAAGCCAAGGAAGCCAAGGGUUGUGGACACCCCCAGAAGCUGGAAGAGGCAGGAAGGACACUCCCCUGGAGCCUUCGGAGGGAGCACGGGCCUCUGACACCUGGAUUUUGGACUGCUGCCCUCCAGAACUGUAGAGAAGACCUUUCUGUUGUUUGAAGCCACCAAGUUUGUGGUAAUUUGUUCUGGCAACCCUGGGAAACUAACACAGUGGGCAUUACGCAAAAAGCCAGGGAGGAUGCUAAGCCGGUGAGGGAAGGAUCCACUUGGUGUCCUCUGCCCCUCCCCCACUCCUGGGGGAGUCUGGUUAAGACCCUGCCAGCAGCUCGCCCAGACAUCACAGUUGGCAAGGUGGCGAGUGAGGGUGACGGGAGGACGGACUUUUGGGGUGUUAACUUUGUCUCCCCCACUCAAGUGUGGGGCCCCUCCUGUGCACUUCAGACUCUCUUGACCUCAUCUCUGAUCCCAGCCUCAGUGGUGGCCAGGGCGGGUGGGCUCCACCCAGCUGCAGGCAGCAGGAGACCUGACAGCAUCUCACCCCAGGGUUCUCUAUCAACGCUGGACUCAGGAGGUGGCAGGAAGCCUCCCGGUGUCCACACGUGCACUAUCCGGAAAGGCGAAAGUGAAAGGGGUAAAGAGGGACAUGUGUUUGGUGAUGGAUGGAAGCUAGACUUUUGGUGGUGAACAUGAGGUAGUCUAUAUAGAAGUGGAAAUAUAAUGACGUACCCUUGAAAUGUAUAUAAUGUUAUCAACAAUAUUACCUCAAUUAAAAAAAUAAAAUAGAAAGGAAAUACAGCUUUUCUAGGGAAAAAAAAGAGCAUCACUUCUGCUCACAUUCUCUCAACCAGAUUUGGUCACAUGGUUAUUCUUACUGCAAGGGGCAUUGAGAAAAGUG
This 1309-nucleotide long non-coding RNA is filed under the name Equus caballus (horse). RNAcentral describes it as "lncRNA (ENSECAG00000058107.1)". The record is from RNAcentral. Lineage: Eukaryota; Metazoa; Chordata; Mammalia; Perissodactyla; Equidae.